RNAcentral lists this ribosomal RNA (250 nucleotides) under uncultured prokaryote. RNAcentral describes it as "partial 16S ribosomal RNA". It matches the Rfam family "Bacterial small subunit ribosomal RNA", at positions 524 to 772 of the family's 1533-position model. The record is from RNAcentral.
UACGUAUGGUGCAAGCGUUAUCCGGAUUUACUGGGUGUAAAGGGAGCGUAGGUGGUCUGGCAAGCCGGAAGUGGAAACCCGGGGCUCAACUCCGCGGAUUGCUUUUGGAACUGUUGGACUGGAGUGCAGGAGGGGUAAGCGGAAUUCCCAGUGUAGCGGUGAAAUGCAUAGAUAUUGGGAAGAACACCGGUGGCGAAGGCGGCUUACUGGACUGUAACUGACGUUGAGGCUCGAAAGCGUGGGGAGCAAA